GAAAGACGUGAUAGCCUGCGAAAAGCUCCGGGGAGGCGGCAAAUAUCCUGUGAUCCGGAGAUGUCUGAAUGGGGAAACCCACUUACCAUAAGGUAGGUAUUGCAACAUGAAUACAUAGUGUUGCAAGGCGAACGAGGGGAAGUGAAACAUCUCAGUACCCUUAGGAAAAGAAAUCAAUUGAGAUUCCCUCAGUAGCGGCGAGCGAAAGGGGAAGAGCCCAUUAAGUCAUAUAAGUUCUAGUGGAACGCUCUGGGAAGUGCGACCGUAGACGGUGAUAGUCCUGUACACGAAAGGGCUUAUAUGAUGAUGUCGAGUAGGGCGAGGCACGUGAAACCUUGUCUGAAUAUGGGGGGACCAUCCUCCAAGGCUAAAUACUCCUGACUGACCGAUAGUGAACCAGUACCGUGAGGGAAAGGCGAAAAGAACCCCUGUGAGGGGAGUGAAAUAGAUCCUGAAACCGCAUGCAUACAAGCAGUGGGAGCCGGCUUAGUCCGGUGACUGCGUACCUUUUGUAUAAUGGGUCAGCGACUUAUAUUCAGUAGC
This 543-nucleotide ribosomal RNA is filed under the name Acinetobacter lwoffii. RNAcentral's name for it is "partial 23S ribosomal RNA". It matches the Rfam family "Bacterial large subunit ribosomal RNA", at positions 51 to 641 of the family's 2925-position model. The record is from RNAcentral. Lineage: Bacteria; Pseudomonadati; Pseudomonadota; Gammaproteobacteria; Moraxellales; Moraxellaceae.